RNAcentral lists this ribosomal RNA (1241 nucleotides) under metagenome. RNAcentral's name for it is "bacterial LSU rRNA". It matches the Rfam family "Bacterial large subunit ribosomal RNA", at positions 1564 to 2814 of the family's 2925-position model. The record is from RNAcentral.
UGAGUACGAGAUGCUACGGCAUCGAAGCAGUCUAUGUCAUACUUCCAAGAAAAGCUUGCACUGUCAUAAACAAAGAAUGCCUGUACCAUAACCGACACAGGUGGGUAGGUAGAGUAUACUAAGGGGCGCGAGAUAACUCUCUCUAAGGAACUCGGCAAAAUGACUCCGUAACUUCGGGAGAAGGAGUGCCUUAUUUCUAAGGUUGCAAUAACAAGAUCCAAGCAACUGUUUACCAAAAACACAGGUCUCCGCUAAGUCGUAAGACGAUGUAUGGGGGCUGACGCCUGCCCAGUGCCAGAAGGUUAAAGAAGUUGGUUAGCAUUAGCGAAGCUGAUAACUGAAGCCCUGGUGAACGGCGGCCGUAACUAUAACGGUCCUAAGGUAGCGAAAUUCCUUGUCGGGUAAGUUCCGACCCGCACGAAAGGCGUAAUGAUUUGGAUACUGUCUCGGAGAGGGGCUCGGUGAAAUAGACUUGUCUGUGAAGAUGCGGACUACCUGCACCUGGACAGAAAGACCCUAUGAAGCUUUACUGUAACUUGAGAUUGAAAUUGGACUUUAUUUGCGCAGUAUAGGUGGGAGGCGUUGAGAAUAAUCUUGCGGGAUUGUUGGAGCCAUCAGUGAGAUACCACUCUUGUAAUGUUAGAUUUCUAACUUUGUAUCAUUAUCUGGUCAAAGAACAGUUUCAGGCGGGCAGUUUGACUGGGGCGGUCGCCUCCCAAAGGGUAACGGAGGCGCACAAAGGUUUCCUCUGAACGGGUAGAAAUCGUAUCUAGAGUGUAAAGGCAUAAGGAAGCUUGACUGUGAGACCUACAAGUCGAGCAGGGACGAAAGUCGGUCUUAGUGAUCUGACGGUGCUGAGUGGAAAGGCCGUCACUCAACGGAUAAAAGUUACUCUAAGGAUAACAGGCUGAUCUCCCCCAAGAGUUCACAUCGACGGGGAGGUUUGGCACCUCGAUGUCGGCUCACCGCAUCCUGGGGCGGUAGUCCGUCCCAAGGGUUGGGCUGUUCGCCCAUGGAAGCGGUACGCGAGGUGGGUUCAGAACGUCGUGAGACAGUUCGGUCCAUAUCCGGUGUAGGCGUUAGAAUAUUGAGAGGAGCCUUCUCUAGUACGAGAGGACCGAGAAGGACAUACCUCUGGUGUACCAGUUAUCGUGCCAACGGUAAACGCUGGGUAGCUAUGUAUGGAGUGGAUAACCGCUGAAAGCAUCUAAGUGGGAAGCCCACCUCAAGAUAAGUAUUCU